This 252-nucleotide long non-coding RNA is filed under the name Coturnix japonica (Japanese quail). RNAcentral's name for it is "lncRNA (ENSCJPG00005012606.1)". Lineage: Eukaryota; Metazoa; Chordata; Aves; Galliformes; Phasianidae. The record is from RNAcentral.
AGGUGGAGCUCAGGAGGCAGAGGUCCUGCAAGAUGAAAUACCAGGUGAUGGUGUCAGGAACACCGUGAGGCGAACCCUGUUGCCCACAAGCAGCAUGUUGGCCAUCACAGCUCCAUUCACUUUGGUCUACAACAUGUAACUGCGAUGAGAGAAGUAAGAGAUGCCUGAAGGGAAGCAAGAAUGGAAAGCAUCCUUAAAAUGACUGAUUUACAAUUGAUGGAUGUGAAAGCUGGAAAUCUACCAAAAGUAUAG